Molecule: ribosomal RNA, 253 nt
Filed under: uncultured bacterium
Lineage: Bacteria
Description: partial 16S ribosomal RNA
Rfam family: Bacterial small subunit ribosomal RNA
Source: RNAcentral
UACGUAGGGUGCAAGCGUUAUCCGGAAUCAUUGGGCGUAAAGCGUCCGCAGGUGGCAUUUCAAGUCUGCUGUCAAAGGUCGGGGCUUAACUCCGAACAGGCAGUGGAAACUGAGAAGCUAGAGUAUGGUAGGGGCAGAGGGAAUUCCUGGUGUAGCGGUGAAAUGCGUAGAGAUCAGGAAGAACACCGGUGGCGAAAGCGCUCUGCUAGGCCAUAACUGACGCUCAGGGACGAAAGCUAGGGGAGCGAAUGGG